UUGAGACCGGCGCACGGGUGCGUAACGCGUAUGCAACCUACCUUUAUCUGGGGGAUAGCCCGGAGAAAUCCGGAUUAAUACCGCAUAAAAUCACAGUAUUGCAUAAUACAAUGAUCAAACAUUUAUGGGAUGAAGAUGGGCAUGCGUGUCAUUAGCUAGUUGGCGGGGUAACGGCCCACCAAGGCGACGAUGACUAGGGGAUCUGAGAGGAUGACCCCCCACACUGGUACUGAGACACGGACCAGACUCCUACGGGAGGCAGCAGUAAGGAAUAUUGGUCAAUGGAGGCAACUCUGAACCAGCCAUGCCGCGUGCAGGAAGACUGCCCUAUGGGUUGUAAACUGCUUUUAUCCGGGAAUAAACCACAAUACGUGUAUUGUGCUGAAUGUACCGGAAGAAUAAGGAUCGGCUAACUCCGUGCCAGCAGCCGCGGUAAUACGGAGGAUCCAAGCGUUAUCCGGAUUUAUUGGGUUUAAAGGGUGCGUAGGCGGCCCGUUAAGUCAGGGGUGAAAGACGGUAGCUCAACUAUCGCAGUGCCUUUGAUACUGACGGGCUUGAAUGAACUAGAGGUAGGCGGAAUGAGACAGGUAGCGGUGAAAUGCAUAGAUAUGUCUCA
RNAcentral lists this ribosomal RNA (616 nucleotides) under uncultured Pedobacter sp. RNAcentral describes it as "bacterial SSU rRNA". It matches the Rfam family "Bacterial small subunit ribosomal RNA", at positions 89 to 703 of the family's 1533-position model. Lineage: Bacteria; Pseudomonadati; Bacteroidota; Sphingobacteriia; Sphingobacteriales; Sphingobacteriaceae. The record is from RNAcentral.